GGCUCAGAACGAACGCGGGCGGCGUGCCUAACACAUGCAAGUCGCGCGAGAACGGGGGGGGCAACUCCCCUAGUACAGCGGCGCACGGGUGAGUAACACGUAGGUGACCUACCCCUCAGCCUGGGACAACCUACCGAAAGGUGGGCUAAUACCGGAUAUGACCACGGAGGCUACGGCCUCUGCGGUGAAAGGUGGCCUCUGCUUGCAAGCUACCACUGAAGGAUGGGCCUGCGCGCCAUUAGCUAGUUGGCGGGGUAAUGGCCCACCAAGGCUCUGAUGGCUAGCUGGUCUGAGAGGAUGGCCAGCCACACUGGGACUGAGACACGGCCCAGACUCCUACGGGAGGCAGCAGUGGGGGAUAUUGCGCAAUGGGCGAAAGCCUGACGCAGCGACGCCGCGUGGGUGAUGAAGGCCUUCGGGUCGUAAAGCCCUGUCGAGGGGGAAGAACGGGCCGCGGUCGAAUAGGCCGCGGUCGUGACGGUACCCCUAAAGGAAGCACCGGCUAACUCCGUGCCAGCAGCCGCGGUAAUACGGAGGGUGCGAGCGUUGUUCGGAAUCACUGGGCGUAAAGCGCGUGUAGGCGGCUCGUUUAGUCUGGUGUGAAAGCCCGGGGCUCACCCCCGGAAGAGCACUGGAAACUGGCGAGCUCGAGUCCCGGAGAGGAGAGUGGAAUUCCUGGUGUAGCGGUGAAAUGCGUAGAUAUCAGGAGGAACACCGGUGGCGAAGGCGGCUCUCUGGACGGUGACUGACGCUGAGACGCGAAAGCGUGGGGAGCAAACAGGAUUAGAUACCCUGGUAGUCCACGCUGUAAACGAUGAGCACUAGGUGUCGCGGGUAUUGACCCCUGCGGUGCCGCAGCUAACGCAUUAAGUGCUCCGCCUGGGGACUACGGCCGCAAGGUUAAAACUCAAAU
RNAcentral lists this ribosomal RNA (913 nucleotides) under uncultured bacterium. RNAcentral describes it as "bacterial SSU rRNA". It matches the Rfam family "Bacterial small subunit ribosomal RNA", at positions 21 to 906 of the family's 1533-position model. The record is from RNAcentral.